UUAAGCGACUAAGCGUACACGGUGGAUGCCCUGGCAGUCAGAGGCGAUGAAGGACGUGCUAAUCUGCGAAAAGCGUCGGUAAGGUGAUAUGAACCGUUACAGCCGGCGAUGUCCGAAUGGGGAAACCCAGUGUGAUUCGUCACACUAUCGUUAACUGAAUACAUAGGUUAACGAGGCGAACCGGGGGAACUGAAACAUCUAAGUACCCCGAGGAAAAGAAAUCAACCGAGAUUCCCCCAGUAGCGGCGAGCGAACGGGGAGCAGCCCAGAGUCUGAAUCAGCUUGUGUGUUAGUGGAACGGUCUGGAAAGUCCGACGGUACAGGGUGAUAGUCCCGUACACCAAAAUGCACAGGCUGUGAACUCGAAGAGUAGGGCGGGACACGUGGUAUCCUGUCUGAAUAUGGGGGGACCAUCCUCCAAGGCUAAAUACUCCUGACUGACCGAUAGUGAACCAGUACCGUGAGGGAAAGGCGAAAAGAACCCCGGCGAGGGGAGUGAAAAAGAACCUGAAACCGUGUACGUACAAGCAGUGGGAGCACCUUCGGGUGUGACUGCGUACCUUUUGUAUAAUGGGUCAGCGACUUAUAUUCUGUAGCAAGGUUAACCGUAUAGGGGAGCCGCAGGGAAACCGAGUCUUAACUGGGCGUUAAGUUGCAGGGUAUAGACCCGAAACCCGGUGAUCUAGCCAUGGGCAGGUUGAAGGUUGGGUAACACUAACUGGAGGACCGAACCGACUAAUGUUGAAAAAUUAGCGGAUGACUUGUGGCUGGGGGUGAAAGGCCAAUCAAACCGGGAGAUAGCUGGUUCUCCCCGAAAGCUAUUUAGGUAGCGCCUCGUGAAUUCAUCUUCGGGGGUAGAGCACUGUUUCGGCUAGGGGGUCAUCCCGACUUACCAACCCGAUGCAAACUACGAAUACCGAAGAAUGUUAUCACGGGAGACACACGGCGGGUGCUAACGUCCGUCGUGAAGAGGGAAACAACCCAGACCGCCAGCUAAGGUCCCAAAGUCAUGGUUAAGUGGGAAACGAUGUGGGAAGGCACAGACAGCCAGGAUGUUGGCUUAGAAGCAGCCAUCAUUUAAAGAAAGCGUAAUAGCUCACUGGUCGAGUCGGCCUGCGCGGAAGAUGUAACGGGGCUAAACCAUGCACCGAAGCUGCGGCAGCGACACUAUGUGUUGUUGGGUAGGGGAGCGUUCUGUAAGCCUGCGAAGGUGUGCUGUGAGGCAUGCUGGAGGUAUCAGAAGUGCGAAUGCUGACAUAAGUAACGAUAAAGCGGGUGAAAAGCCCGCUCGCCGGAAGACCAAGGGUUCCUGUCCAACGUUAAUCGGGGCAGGGUGAGUCGACCCCUAAGGCGAGGCCGAAAGGCGUAGUCGAUGGGAAACAGGUUAAUAUUCCUGUACUUGGUGUUACUGCGAAGGGGGGACGGAGAAGGCUAUGUUAGCCGGGCGACGGUUGUCCCGGUUUAAGCAUGUAGGCUGGUUGUCCAGGCAAAUCCGGAUAAUCAAGGCUGAGGUGUGAUGACGAGGCACUACGGUGCUGAAGUAACAAAUGCCCUGCUUCCAGGAAAAGCCUCUAAGCAUCAGGUAACAUCAAAUCGUACCCCAAACCGACACAGGUGGUCAGGUAGAGAAUACCAAGGCGCUUGAGAGAACUCGGGUGAAGGAACUAGGCAAAAUGGUGCCGUAACUUCGGGAGAAGGCACGCUGGUGUGUAGGUGAAGCCCCUGCGGGUGGAGCUGAGACCAGUCGAAGAUACCAGCUGGCUGCAACUGUUUAUUAAAAACACAGCACUGUGCAAACACGAAAGUGGACGUAUACGGUGUGACGCCUGCCCGGUGCCGGAAGGUUAAUUGAUGGGGUUAUCCGUAAGGAGAAGCUCUUGAUCGAAGCCCCGGUAAACGGCGGCCGUAACUAUAACGGUCCUAAGGUAGCGAAAUUCCUUGUCGGGUAAGUUCCGACCUGCACGAAUGGCGUAAUGAUGGCCAGGCUGUCUCCACCCGAGACUCAGUGAAAUUGAACUCGCUGUGAAGAUGCAGUGUACCCGCGGCAAGACGGAAAGACCCCGUGAACCUUUACUAUAGCUUGACACUGAACAUUGAGCCUUGAUGUGUAGGAUAGGUGGGAGGCUUUGAAGCGUGGACGCCAGUCUGCGUGGAGCCAACCUUGAAAUACCACCCUUUAAUGUUUGAUGUUCUAACGUUGGCCCCUUACCGGGGUUGCGGACAGUGUCUGGUGGGUAGUUUGACUGGGGCGGUCUCCUCCCAAAGCGUAACGGAGGAGCACGAAGGUUAGCUAAUCCUGGUCGGACAUCAGGAGGUUAGUGCAAUGGCAUAAGCUAGCUUGACUGCGAGCGUGACGGCGCGAGCAGGUGCGAAAGCAGGUCAUAGUGAUCCGGUGGUUCUGAAUGGAAGGGCCAUCGCUCAACGGAUAAAAGGUACUCCGGGGAUAACAGGCUGAUACCGCCCAAGAGUUCAUAUCGACGGCGGUGUUUGGCACCUCGAUGUCGGCUCAUCACAUCCUGGGGCUGAAGUAGGUCCCAAGGGUAUGGCUGUUCGCCAUUUAAAGUGGUACGCGAGCUGGGUUUAGAACGUCGUGAGACAGUUCGGUCCCUAUCUGCCGUGGGCGCUGGAGAAUUGAGGGGGGCUGCUCCUAGUACGAGAGGACCGGAGUGGACGCAUCACUGGUGUUCGGGUUGUCAUGCCAAUGGCACUGCCCGGUAGCUAAAUGCGGAAGAGAUAAGUGCUGAAAGCAUCUAAGCACGAAACUUGCCCCGAGAUGAGUUCUCCCUGAGACUUUAAGUCUCCUGAAGGAACGUUAAAGACGAUGACGUUGAUAGGCCGGGUGUGUAAGCGCAGCGAUGCGUUGAGCUAACCGGUACUAAUGAACCGUGAGGCUUAACCUU
This 2900-nucleotide ribosomal RNA is filed under the name Klebsiella pneumoniae. RNAcentral describes it as "bacterial LSU rRNA". It matches the Rfam family "Bacterial large subunit ribosomal RNA". Lineage: Bacteria; Pseudomonadati; Pseudomonadota; Gammaproteobacteria; Enterobacterales; Enterobacteriaceae. The record is from RNAcentral.